This is a long non-coding RNA of Anopheles gambiae (African malaria mosquito), 1485 nucleotides long. RefSeq lists it as uncharacterized. Lineage: Eukaryota; Metazoa; Arthropoda; Insecta; Diptera; Culicidae. The record is from RefSeq and is a predicted model, not a curated record. The transcript is spliced from 3 exons.
CCUGGAGCGUGUCCCGAAACGCUCGCUUGCCGUUUUGAGCGAUCUGGUGGUUCGGCAUGUUGAACCCGGAACGAAAAUUAUGACCGAUCUCUGGAAAGGUUAUAAUGGGCUGGAGGAGCUUGGAUAUCCCCACGAAUGUGUCAACCACUCCAGAAAUUUCCUCAAUCCAGAUGAUAACAAUAUCAACACACAACGGAUUGAGAAUGUUUGGAGAUGGUUGAAGGCAUUUUUGAGAAAACAAAGCACUAAUAUUAAAAGCAACAUGGACAAAUAUUUUGCUGAGCAUAUCUUCCGGAAAUGCAAUGAUGAUGUGUUUGUCGCCUUGAUAGAUGCCUUGGGGAACCAAAUCGAACAUUUUUAAUAAUUAGUUUUCUUUUUUUUUAAGCAGGUACACUCAAAGCAGAUUCUCAUUUGGUCCAGAGCAGCUUAGCUGCGAAACGGACCCAAGGAGGAGGUUUUGAUGACACCUUGCUAAGGUGUAUUCUACAUUUCCCCUCCUUGUAAAAAAAAAGAAAUUAAAUUUUAAAACAAAUCCCUUUCUAAGAUUUUAAGGCAGCGCAGUUGAAAACAUCGAUUUUUUUAUCGGGGGUUUUCCCCUGCGGUAAGUAAUUCUAGAUCAUAGCGAUCGGCUUGCACGAGAUGAUAACCCAAUUUCCUUCGUUUCCUAACACUUUCUAUUUGCAUGCCUCCUGCCGCACGAGCUCGCCGACCUACGCGUCGAUCCGGUUUUAAGUGGCAAGCGGGAUAAGGGAUAGAUCUAGUACACCGCAUACCAUCCGACCGAUUUCCCCAAUCAGUAGCACACCUCACUAGUCGAGGGGGUUUCCCCUGCGGUAAGUAUUGAUACAUCAUAGCGAUCGGUUUGCAAGAGACAAUGUAGGCAGUUUAUUAAUAUUUUUUUUUAUUUUUCUUACUAUUUGCAUGCCUCCUGCCGCACGAGCUCGCCGACCUACGCGUCGAUCCGGAUUUAAGUGGCAGCGGGAAAAGGAAUCUACAACGCCAACCAUCCGACAGUGUUCACGAUAAGAAAGGAAACGUCUCUUAUCGUGGGGUUUCCCCUGCGAGAAUCGUUUUUCAGUACACAUGCCACAACACACUAUCGGUAUUCGUUUUCCUUCAUCUAACUGUAAGAAACAGUCACUGCGCAACAUCCUACGAUAGCCAAGCAUAUAGACGAAACAUUAAUGUUGUAUCAUGCUAACCCGUGACAGGCAAGUGCUCAGUAACUCACGCACGUCCUUCAACGCACACAUCAUGAAACAUCUGGUGAAUGAGAUUGCUGAGCAAAACACUCACCAAAUGGAAUAGAAUGGAUGAGUUUAUUUUAUGCAUCAUGUACCUCCCUUUUUGCCUUAUAAUGUGACCAGUGCCUUAUUUUUUUCUUUUGUUUUAUGUUAGCAUAGGAUUAGUAUUAGUAUUAGUUUGGUUUAAUUAGAUAUAAGAUUUUAUUGUGCUAAUAUACGCAUGGACUAUUGAAACAUAUAA